CACCGCGUAGCUCAGUUGGCAGAGCAUUGGGCUAGUAUUCCAAAGGUCGUAGGUUCGAUUCCCACCGUGGCCA
This is a non-coding RNA of Paramuricea clavata, 73 nucleotides long. The record is from the annotation of a GenBank genome assembly. NCBI's taxonomy places the organism in Eukaryota, Metazoa, Cnidaria, Anthozoa, Malacalcyonacea, Plexauridae.